Molecule: long non-coding RNA, 196 nt
Organism: Hypanus sabinus (Atlantic stingray)
Lineage: Eukaryota; Metazoa; Chordata; Chondrichthyes; Myliobatiformes; Dasyatidae
Exons: 3
Source: RefSeq, a predicted model, not a curated record
AUCAAAAUGAAAGCAAAAGCUUUUUCUUCAUAUUCUCUAGGCAACAGAGGGAAGGUUAUCACAAUGUGCUGAGAGCAAGAGAGGAAAUAGAGAGUAUCUCUGGUUGAAAGCCCUGGAGGAGAGACGAUAUUGAUAAAAACUUUAUUGAUGCUACGCCUGUAACAAGCAUCAGCUAUAGGCAGAGAGUGGUGUCCAG